GACGAACGCUGGCGGCGUGCUUAACACAUGCCAGUCGAACGCUGAAGCUCAGCUUUUGUUGGGUGGAUGAGUGGCGAACGGGUGAGUAACACGUGAGUAACCUGCCUCCUUCUUUGGGAUAACGCCCGGAAACGGGUGCUAAUACUGGAUAUUCACUGGUCUUCGCAUGGGGGUUGGUGGAAAGGGUUUUUCUGGUGGGGGAUGGGCUCGCGGCCUAUCAGCUUGUUGGUGGGGUGAUGGCCUACCAAGGCUUUGACGGGUAGCCGGCCUGAGAGGGUGACCGGUCACAGUGGGACUGAGAUACGGCCCAGACUACUACGGGAGGCAGCAGUGGGGAAUAUGGCAGAAUGGGCGCAAGACUGAUGCAGCGACGGCGCGUGAGGGAUGGAGGCCGUCGGGUUGUGAAACUCUUUCGCUCAUGGUCAAGCCGCAACAAUGGUUGUGGUGAGGGUAGUGGGUAAAGAAGCGCCGGCUAACUACGUG
This 483-nucleotide ribosomal RNA is filed under the name uncultured bacterium. RNAcentral's name for it is "partial 16S ribosomal RNA". It matches the Rfam family "Bacterial small subunit ribosomal RNA", at positions 28 to 507 of the family's 1533-position model. The record is from RNAcentral.